This 249-nucleotide long non-coding RNA is filed under the name Vigna radiata. RNAcentral describes it as "long non-coding RNA (VRAD_LNC015667)". Lineage: Eukaryota; Viridiplantae; Streptophyta; Magnoliopsida; Fabales; Fabaceae. The record is from RNAcentral.
AAAAUGGAAGAAGAAUGAAAGAGCAAACCCUAGAAAAGAUGAAAAGGAGCCUAAGCAUCCAAGAGAUCCUCUCCAGAGAGCAAAAUUAGGUCUGGCCGUUCUCCCCUGUCAAAAGAAUGACUCUGAAUUCGUAGUAGGGGUAUUUAUAGGUGAGGAGCGUGUCAAAAACAGACCCAAGUCCAGCGUGCCACCGUCGAGCGGCACACUUAAACCGCCCAAGUCCUGGACCGCCCAACGGUUUAAGUGUGC